Molecule: small RNA, 179 nt
Filed under: uncultured Prevotella sp.
Lineage: Bacteria; Pseudomonadati; Bacteroidota; Bacteroidia; Bacteroidales; Prevotellaceae
Description: Bacteroidales-1 6S-Bacteroidales RNA suggested
Rfam family: Bacteroidales-1 6S-Bacteroidales RNA suggested
Source: RNAcentral
GCACCGGGCAGAUCGGGAUACUCAUCAAAUAAAACCGAAAACCGAGGGUCGUUCUUCUGCCAAUGGCGGGCCACAUAAACUCCUUCGGGAGCUAAGCUGCAAAGCCGGUGGAUUACAAAGGCGUGGAAUCCUCAAAUCUUGUCAUCAGGAGUUUUCAUCACAUCGCGGUGCAUCCCUUU